RNAcentral lists this ribosomal RNA (255 nucleotides) under uncultured bacterium. RNAcentral describes it as "partial 16S ribosomal RNA". It matches the Rfam family "Bacterial small subunit ribosomal RNA", at positions 524 to 776 of the family's 1533-position model. The record is from RNAcentral.
UACGGAGGGAGCUAGCGUUGUUCGGAUUUACUGGGCGUAAAGCGCACGUAGGCGGAUUGUUAAGUCAGGGGUGAAAUCCUGGAGCUCAACUCCAGAACUGCCUUUGAUACUGGCAAUCUUGAGUCCGGAAGAGGUGAGUGGAACUCCUAGUGUAGAGGUGGAAUUCGUAGAUAUUAGGAAGAACACCAGUGGCGAAGGCGGCUCACUGGUCCGGUACUGACGCUGAGGUGCGAAAAGCGUGGGGGAGCAAACAGG